RNAcentral lists this ribosomal RNA (646 nucleotides) under Enterobacter sp. M1(2015). RNAcentral's name for it is "bacterial SSU rRNA". It matches the Rfam family "Bacterial small subunit ribosomal RNA", at positions 817 to 1463 of the family's 1533-position model. Lineage: Bacteria; Pseudomonadati; Pseudomonadota; Gammaproteobacteria; Enterobacterales; Enterobacteriaceae. The record is from RNAcentral.
UUGGNNGUUGUGCCCUUGAGGCGUGGCUUCCGGAGCUAACGCGUUAAGUCGACCGCCUGGGGAGUACGGCCGCAAGGUUAAAACUCAAAUGAAUUGACGGGGGCCCGCACAAGCGGUGGAGCAUGUGGUUUAAUUCGAUGCAACGCGAAGAACCUUACCUACUCUUGACAUCCAGAGAACUUNNNAGAGAUGCUUUGGUGCCUUCGGGAACUCUGAGACAGGUGCUGCAUGGCUGUCGUCAGCUCGUGUUGUGAAAUGUUGGGUUAAGUCCCGCAACGAGCGCAACCCUUAUCCUUUGUUGCCAGCGGUNNGGCCGGGAACUCAAAGGAGACUGCCAGUGAUAAACUGGAGGAAGGUGGGGAUGACGUCAAGUCAUCAUGGCCCUUACGAGUAGGGCUACACACGUGCUACAAUGGCGCAUACAAAGAGAAGCGACCUCGCGAGAGCAAGCGGACCUCAUAAAGUGCGUCGUAGUCCGGAUUGGAGUCUGCAACUCGACUCCAUGAAGUCGGAAUCGCUAGUAAUCGUAGAUCAGAAUGCUACGGUGAAUACGUUCCCGGGCCUUGUACACACCGCCCGUCACACCAUGGGAGUGGGUUGCAAAAGAAGUAGGUAGCUUAACCUUCGGGAGGGCGCUUACCACUUU